Molecule: long non-coding RNA, 388 nt
Organism: Physeter macrocephalus (sperm whale)
Lineage: Eukaryota; Metazoa; Chordata; Mammalia; Artiodactyla; Physeteridae
Exons: 3
Source: RefSeq, a predicted model, not a curated record
AGAGAACUGUGUCACACGCUGGUGCAGGAUGCGGGAGCAUCUGGAUCCAUCACCGCCCAGCUCUUCCCCAAGUGUCUGGGAUUUGGCCUUUCUGGAUUCUGCCUCUGUCUCUCCAGCUGUGCCCUCUCAGGCUCCCGUGGAGCGGAAGCCCCAACCCAGAACUCCAGACUCCCUGUGUCCAAUGGCCUGGUGGAUGCCUCUCCCUGAAUAUCCCACAGCAGAGGGGGGCCAAGGGUUGCUACGUACCUGGAGAUGGAGUUCUCUGAUGCGAUGUCCUUUGGGGUCCGGACUGUUGUGAAGGUUCAUCCAGUUCCACGCCCACCCACUGGCCGCUGGCGAACUCCGUGGUCCCGCAGAACCGCAGCGUGCCCGUCUGAGGAAACAAGGG